GUCGAACGAGAAAGCGGGGGCAACCUCGCAAGUACAGUGGCGUACGGGUGAGUAACACGUGGGUAAUCUACCUCUUAGUGGGGAAUAACGCUGGGAAACCGGCGCUAAUACCGCAUAAGCUCGAGAGAGGAAAGCAGCAAUGCGCUGAGAGAGGAGCCCGCGGCCGAUUAGCCAGUUGGUAGGGUAACGGCCUACCAAAGCGAAGAUCGGUAGCCGGCCUGAGAGGGCACACGGCCACACUGGCACUGAAACACGGGCCAGACUCCUACGGGAGGCAGCAGUGGGGAAUCUUGCACAAUGGGGGAAACCCUGAUGCAGCGACGCCGCGUGAGCGAUGAAGCCCUUCGGGGUGUAAAGCUCUUUCGGCAGGGAAGAUGAUGACGGUACCUGCAGAAGCAGCUGCGGCUAACUACGUGCCAGCAGCCGCGGUAAUACGUAGGCAGCAAGCGUUGUUCGGAGUUACUGGGCGUAAAGGGUGUGUAGGCGGUUUGGUAAGUCUGGUGUGAAAUCUCCCGGCUCAACUGGGAGGGUGCGCCGGAAACUGCCGGACUCGAGUGCGGGAGAGGAGAGUGGAAUUCCUGGUGUAGCGGUGAAAUGCGUAGAUAUCAGGAGGAACACCGGUGGGUGUAGACGGCUCUCUGGACCGUAACUGACGCUGAAACACGAAAGCGUGGGUAGCAAACAGGAUUAGAUACCCUGGUAGUCCACGCCCUAAACGAUGCAUAUUUUGGUGUGGGUCAUUCAGUUGAUCCGUGCCGGAGCUAACGCGUUAAAUAUGCCGCCUGGGGAGUA
This 792-nucleotide ribosomal RNA is filed under the name uncultured bacterium. Its description in RNAcentral is "bacterial SSU rRNA". It matches the Rfam family "Bacterial small subunit ribosomal RNA", at positions 61 to 882 of the family's 1533-position model. The record is from RNAcentral.